Molecule: long non-coding RNA, 657 nt
Filed under: Homo sapiens (human)
Lineage: Eukaryota; Metazoa; Chordata; Mammalia; Primates; Hominidae
Description: HSALNT0054900
Source: RNAcentral
AGAAUGCUUAACAAAGCCUAAGCAAGUCUCUUUUUUAUCAAAGCUCAGGAAAAAUACUGGGAUGAUAACACCCAGUGCUUGGGUGUCUUAAAGGAAGAAGAAAAAGAAGAUGAUGCCUGAGAAGUUUGCCACCUGCAGCUUGGCACUUCCUCAUCCUAAAAUUUGGCUGCUAAUUUCUGCUGAUGCUCAUGGAAAAUUUCCCAAAGACCCUGCUCCUGAAUGAAUUGAAAGCCUUUGAGUUGAGUUUGUAUUCCUUAACCUGUACCCUGUAAAAGACGGUAGCCAAGUAAUGGAACUGUAGUUAAUAAAACAGGAGACAGUCUCUCUUCUGGAUAGAUGGAAGACAUUCCUGUUUGCCUCCAAAAUAAGCCUCUUUUCCCAUCACUGCCCUUGGAGGUUUGACAGUUCAUGCCCAGCACGCCUCUCAGUAAGCACCGAGAGCAGAAGAAGAUAAUCACUUGGCGGGAAUUGUGCAGACUGCAAUUCUCUCUUCAAGGAACAAUUUGCCAGGGGAGCUGCCCAUGCUGGUCACAUUUUGUUAGUUUCUACCCACCAAGCAGCCGCUUGUGACAAAGAAGCUCCUGUCCUUCACUGGAUUUGGUUUCAGGCAAAUGAAAUGAUGCCUUGCCACUCUCUGGCAGACAGAAGUAGUUUCUC